GAUGAACGCUGGCGGCGUGCUUAACACAUGCAAGUCGAACGGGAGAUGCACAGGGAAGAGAUUUCGGUCGAAUCCAGUGUAUCUUUAGUGGCGGACGGGUGAGUAACGCGUGGGUAACCUGCCAUAUACUGGGGGAUAACACUUAGAAAUAGGUGCUAAUACCGCAUAAGCGCACGGUCCCGCAUGGGACAGUGUGAAAAACUCCGGGGGUAUAUGAUGGACCCGCGUCUGAUUAGCUGGUUGGCGGGGUAACGGCCCACCAAGGCGACGAUCAGUAGCCGGCCUGAGAGGGUGGACGGCCACAUUGGGACUGAGACACGGCCCAA
This 326-nucleotide ribosomal RNA is filed under the name uncultured bacterium. RNAcentral describes it as "bacterial SSU rRNA". It matches the Rfam family "Bacterial small subunit ribosomal RNA", at positions 28 to 334 of the family's 1533-position model. The record is from RNAcentral.